This 602-nucleotide ribosomal RNA is filed under the name uncultured bacterium. Its description in RNAcentral is "bacterial SSU rRNA". It matches the Rfam family "Bacterial small subunit ribosomal RNA", at positions 72 to 667 of the family's 1533-position model. The record is from RNAcentral.
UUCAAAGCUUGCUUUGAAGAUGACGAGCGGCGGACGGGUGAGUAAUGCUUGGGAAUAUGCCUUAUGGUGGGGGACAACAGUUGGAAACGACUGCUAAUACCGCAUAAUGUCUACGGACCAAAGGGGGGGAUCUUCGGACCUCUCGCCAUUUGAUUAGCCCAAGUGAGAUUAGCUAGUUGGUGAGGUAAUGGCUCACCAAGGCGACGAUCUCUAGCUGGUUUGAGAGGAUGAUCAGCCACACUGGGACUGAGACACGGCCCAGACUCCUACGGGAGGCAGCAGUGGGGAAUAUUGCACAAUGGGCGCAAGCCUGAUGCAGCCAUGCCGCGUGUGUGAAGAAGGCCUUCGGGUUGUAAAGCACUUUCAGUAAGGAGGAAAGGGAUGUAGUUAAUAGCUGCAUUCUGUGACGUUACUUACAGAAGAAGCACCGGCUAACUUCGUGCCAGCAGCCGCGGUAAUACGAGGGGUGCAAGCGUUAAUCGGAAUUACUGGGCGUAAAGCGUUCGUAGGCGGUUGAUUAAGCAAGAUGUGAAAGCCCAGGGCUCAACCUUGGAACUGCAUUUUGAACUGGUCAACUAGAGUACUGUAGAGGGUGGUGGAAU